This 253-nucleotide ribosomal RNA is filed under the name uncultured bacterium. Its description in RNAcentral is "partial 16S ribosomal RNA". It matches the Rfam family "Bacterial small subunit ribosomal RNA", at positions 524 to 776 of the family's 1533-position model. The record is from RNAcentral.
UACGUAGGGGGCAAGCGUUGUCCGGAAUCACUGGGCGUAAAGCGCACGUAGGCGGCAUCUUAAGUCAGGGGUGAAAGCCCAGAGCUCAACUCUGGAAUUGCCUUUGAGACUGAGUGGCUUGAGUACGGGAGAGGUGAGUGGAAUUCCCAGUGUAGAGGUGGAAUUCGUAGAUAUUGGGAAGAACACCGGUGGCGAAGGCGGCUCACUGGCCCGUAACUGACGCUCAUGCACGACAGCGUGGGGAUCAAACAGG